Molecule: long non-coding RNA, 841 nt
Organism: Mauremys mutica (yellowpond turtle)
Lineage: Eukaryota; Metazoa; Chordata; Testudines; Geoemydidae
Exons: 3
Source: RefSeq, a predicted model, not a curated record
UAGAUUCCCUGUUGCUGGAGUCAGACUCCAUGAGGGUGAGCAGUCAGGGCAGCUGCUUUGCAGAAGGCCACCUGCCCUGUGUGAGUCUGAAAAACAGCCCAGGAGCAAGAAGCAGGCUGGUGUCCCUAACUCUGAAGCAUUUUGCAACAGGCCCAGGUCGCGGCAGGUGGAACUCACCAGACUGAGGCUACUUUGCACCUGCUCCAGAGAGCUGCCCUUGAUGAGCCAGUCAUCAAGAUACGGAAAGAUUUGGACCCCUUGACACCUCAGGCCCUUGUCGAGGCUGCCACUGUCGAGGUGGCAGAGGAGACCGGAAUGGCUGUCUCGACACCUGAGGAGUGUGCAUCCCCAGCGAGAGGAGGAUCGCCUGCGUGUCUUUUAGGCCAUGCAGUUGAGCAUCUGUUUGGUCGGAAAAAAGGCCAACACCAUGAAACGGGCAGUCCUGAAUAGAGGCCUGCAUCUCCUGGGACAGUCCGGCAGUCUGAAGCCAGGAACUGUGCCGCACGACCACUGCUAAGGGUACCACCCAGGCAGCUGAAUCGGCUGUGUCCCAGACCAUUUGGAGGGAGCACAGAGUCGCUGCAGUACCCUCCUUCACCAGAGUUGCAAACUCUGGGCUGUCUUCUGAGACAUGGAGUCCUUGAACUUGAGGAUAGAGUCCCACAAGUUAAAGCUAUAGUGACACAAGAGAGCCUGGUGUUCCCCACCUGAAACUAGAGGCUGGCCAUAGAAUGAAAUCUUGCAAUCAAACAAAUCCAGCCUCUUGGCCUCCUUAUUCUUAGGGGUGGAACUGGUGGGCCCCUGUUUAUUCAUGUGGUGGGGGUGAGGCCGAGGAGUUCAG